UUUUUUUUUUGUUUGUUUGUUUGUUUGUUUUCCCCAAUCUUGAAGGCAACAGCAGAGCCAGCGUACUUGCCCCCUGUCGUCUCUGGUUCCAGAAAGACAAGCUGUGGCACUUCCUUUUUUCACAACCUUCUUCAUUACCCGAGUCUCUCUUCCUGCUGCUUAAGGGCUCUUCAAGUUUAAGAAGAAAGUUCUUCCUGCAGACCAGCUGGAUGAGGGACCUCCAAACUUGGCCUCCUGGGAUGGAGAGGGACAUUUUUGCUAGCAGGCCUAUUGGUAGGCCAGAUAUCCUGAGGUUCAUUGCGAGCCCUAGAAAUAAAUGACUGCAAGUGAAAGAUGCAGAUCUUCGUGAGGUGGCCAAGUUUAUUCGUUACUGCAUUAGCGGGCGCACGCCACCUUGUGCAUCGGGUACUGCAUAUGUUUCAAGACACCCAGUGGUUGCUUCCACCAUGGAGUGGCCUACUGUCCUCAAAAUUGCCAUGAACAACGGGUAGAAGCAAGCUCAGGCACACAUCAUCUCCUGUAGGAUCUAUUCCUGGCCCAGGCCACAGAUAUCCGCCUCAAACUCCGCCUGGCAGUCAGUCCCUUGCAGGGAGUAAGAUGUGCAGCUCCAUAGUAUUACCAAAUCUCC
Molecule: long non-coding RNA, 628 nt
Filed under: Gallus gallus (chicken)
Lineage: Eukaryota; Metazoa; Chordata; Aves; Galliformes; Phasianidae
Description: lncRNA (ENSGALG00010025945.1)
Source: RNAcentral